GCAAGUCGAGCGGGGAAGGGUAGCUUGCUACCUGACCUAGCGGCGGACGGGUGAGUAAUGCUUAGGAAUCUGCCUAUUAGUGGGGGACAACAUUCCGAAAGGAAUGCUAAUACCGCAUACGCCCUACGGGGGAAAGCAGGGGAUCUUCGGACCUUGCGCUAAUAGAUGAGCCUAAGUCAGAUUAGCUAGUUGGUGGGGUAAAGGCCUACCAAGGCGACGAUCUGUAGCGGGUCUGAGAGGAUGAUCCGCCCCACUGGGACUGAGACACGGCCCAGACUCCUACGGGAGGCAGCAGUGGGGAAUAUUGGACAAUGGGCGAAAGCCUGAUCCAGCCAUGCCGCGUGUGUGAAGAAGGCCUUUUGGUUGUAAAGCACUUUAAGCGAGGAGGAGGCUACCUGGAUUAAUACUCUAGGAUAGCGGACGUCACUCGCAAAAUAAGCACCGGCUAACUCUGUGCCAGCAGCCGCGGUAAUACAGAGGGUGCGAGCGUUAAUCGGAUUUACUGGGCGUAAAGCGUGCGUAGGCGGCUUUUUAAGUCGGAUGUGAUAUCCCUGAGCUUAACUUAGGAAUUGCAUUCAAUACUGUGAAAGCUAGAGUAUGGGAGAGGAUGGUAGUAUUCCACGUGUAGCGGUGAAAUGCGAAAAGAUCUGGAGGAAUAUCGAUGGUGAAGCAGUCAUCUGGCCUAAUACUGACGUCUGAGGUACGAAAUCAUGGGGAGCAAAUAAGAUACAUACCCUGGUAGCCCAUGACGCACACGAUGUCUACUAUCCUCGGGGCCUUUGAGGUCUANGGCCCAGCUAACGCAUAAAUAGACGGCCUGGGGAGUACUGCUCUAAGACUACAUAUCAAAUUAAUUGACUGGGGCUCGCACAA
This 873-nucleotide ribosomal RNA is filed under the name uncultured bacterium. RNAcentral's name for it is "bacterial SSU rRNA". It matches the Rfam family "Bacterial small subunit ribosomal RNA", at positions 57 to 928 of the family's 1533-position model. The record is from RNAcentral.